This is a long non-coding RNA of Cyprinus carpio carpio, 669 nucleotides long. Lineage: Eukaryota; Metazoa; Chordata; Actinopteri; Cypriniformes; Cyprinidae. The record is from Ensembl.
GGACUUGCUGUCUGUUUCUCAUUGCUCUUCUGCUGGAGAAACAGGGCGCUGGACGGAGCUCUAUCGCAGUGACACGGGCUGAUUGAGUGCUGUGACUGCAGGCCAUAUCUAGCAUGUCAGCGGUCACAGCAGCUCCUGUGAUUUAGUGCAGAGAAGCAUGUCAGGUAAUGGGGAUAUAAUGGAUGGCAGGGUACCAUGACGACAUCAUAUCCCAUCCUUGGACAGGUGUUUCAGUUUGUGAAUGAGAGGAAAUGGGAUCUUUACACCCAAUUUGAAGUGAAGUGAGUGUGCGUUUACAUGGAGGAUAUCCCGUGACCCUAGUGUAAUGACUUGCAGACUACAGGUGGGCUUGCUCCUGAGUGGCACUGAUGGGCCACAUAAACACACUCUAUCACACUCCUCUCCUCUCCUACAGGCUCUCUUUAACUCUGAAUACUACUGGUGUGUCAAUACACCAUUUAAGUCACAACACUGGAAAUGAAAAGUUUAACAGGAAUGUUGUUUGCAUCUUUUAGAUGAAAAAGAACCUCACAAAUAGUUCUACUUCAGGCCAAGUGUUGACGUUCAACUGCAUAAUGUGGGUGUCAGUUUUGUUUGGAGUACAAAGAGUCAUGUUCAUACACAGUUAGGUUAUAAAAGACAUGAUUGACAAUCACAUUCUAUAAGUGU